GAUGAACGCUGACAGAAUGCUUAACACAUGCAAGUCAACUUGAAUUUGGGUUUUUAACUUAAGUUUGGGUGGCGGACGGGUGAGUAACGCGUAAAGAACUUGCCUCACAGCUAGGGACAACAUUUGGAAACGAAUGCUAAUACCUAAUAUUAUGAUAAUAGGGCAUCCUAUAAUUAUGAAAGCUAUAAGCGCUGUGAGAGAGCUUUGCGUCCCAUUAGCUAGUUGGAGAGGUAACUGCUCACCAAGGCGAUGAUGGGUAGCCGGCCUGAGAGGGUGAUCGGCCACAAGGGGACUGAGACACGGCCCUUACUCCUACGGGAGGCAGCAGUGGGGAAUAUUGGACAAUGGACCAAGAGUCUGAUCCAGCAAUUCUGUGUGCACGAUGAAGUUUUUCGGAAUGUAAAGUGCUUUCAGUUGGGAAGAAAGAAAUGACGGUACCAACAGAAGAAGUGACGGCUAAAUACGUGCCAGCAGCCGCGGUAAUACGUAUGUCACGAGCGUUAUCCGGAUUUAUUGGGCGUAAAGCGCGUCUAGGUGGUUAUGUAAGUCUGAUGUGAAAAUGCAGGGCUCAACUCUGUAUUGCGUUGGAAACUGUAUAACUAGAGUACUGGAGAGGUAAGCGGAACUACAAGUGUAGAGGUGAAAUUCGUAGAUAUUUGUAGGAAUGCCGAUGGGGAAAGCCAGCUUACUGGACAGAUACUGACGCUGAAGCGCGAAAGCGUGGGUAGCAAAACAGG
RNAcentral lists this ribosomal RNA (737 nucleotides) under uncultured Fusobacterium sp. RNAcentral's name for it is "bacterial SSU rRNA". It matches the Rfam family "Bacterial small subunit ribosomal RNA", at positions 28 to 776 of the family's 1533-position model. The record is from RNAcentral. Lineage: Bacteria; Fusobacteriati; Fusobacteriota; Fusobacteriia; Fusobacteriales; Fusobacteriaceae.